CCUUCGGGGCAGGGUGAAAUUCCCUACCGACGGUGAUGGCGCAUCGGAUGGUUAUCCGGUGUAGCACAAGUCCGUGACCCGCCAGCGCUCUAACAGCGUUUGCGGCUGAGCCGGUGAGAUUCCGGGACCGACAGUAUAGUCUGGAUGGGAGAAGGA
RNAcentral lists this non-coding RNA (156 nucleotides) under Paenibacillus phocaeensis. Its description in RNAcentral is "FMN riboswitch (RFN element)". It matches the Rfam family "FMN riboswitch aptamer (RFN element)". From Rfam's summary of the family: The RFN element is a highly conserved domain that is found frequently in the 5'-untranslated regions of prokaryotic mRNAs that encode for flavin mononucleotide (FMN) biosynthesis and transport proteins. This element is a metabolite-dependent riboswitch that directly binds FMN in the absence of proteins. The record is from RNAcentral. Lineage: Bacteria; Bacillati; Bacillota; Bacilli; Caryophanales; Paenibacillaceae.